UCGGAGUUUAGUUUUCAAUGUAGGUCGAAAUCUUUAAUAACAUUUAACAAUUAGUAUACAUAUUUUCAAAUAGACCCGUGCAUAUUUUUUAAUCUUACACGUAAAAUUUUUACCAAAGGAAUAAAUAAACAUAAUCGUCGAGCCAAAAAGACAUUCAGCUGAGUAAAGCUUUAUCCUGGCUUUUACGACACGGCGCAACGAGGGAAGGAUUCCUUGUAAGCCCAGAUGGUUAUAUCUCUGUGAACAAUAUACUACAGCACAAGUCAUUUCGCGGUAAAU
Molecule: RNA transcript, 279 nt
Organism: Amyelois transitella
Lineage: Eukaryota; Metazoa; Arthropoda; Insecta; Lepidoptera; Pyralidae
Exons: 3
Source: RefSeq, a predicted model, not a curated record